UGUGUGUGGUCUACAUAAUAUGCCCAAAUUAGUUGUAUCAUACCGUUAAUAUGUUAAUUCAAUGUGUUAAACGUCACGUUUAAAUUUUCUUUAUACAGCAUAUUCAUAUUUUACAAUUAAUGCAUUAUCUGCCAUGUCAGCCACAAGUUUCUAAUUUGUUAAACGUCAAACAUACAAGAAUGUUUGUUAUAGUAAGGAGCUUGCAAGGCUCAGAUUUCAUAAAGUGAUAAAUUAACUGUUAGUGAUUUUAUUUAAAAAUUAUUAUGCA
This 268-nucleotide long non-coding RNA is filed under the name Mytilus galloprovincialis (Mediterranean mussel). Lineage: Eukaryota; Metazoa; Mollusca; Bivalvia; Mytilida; Mytilidae. The record is from RNAcentral.